UACGAAGGGGGCUAGCGUUGCUCGGAAUCACUGGGCGUAACGCGCACGUAGGCGGGUCUUUGAGUCGGGUGUGAAAUCCUGGAGCUCAACUCCAGAACUGCCUUCGAUACUGAGGAUCUCGAGUCCGGGAGAGGUGAGUGGAACUCCGAGUGUAGAGGUGAAAUUCGUAGAUAUUCGGAAGAACACCAGUGGCGAAGGCGGCUCACUGGCCCGGUACUGACGCUGAGGUGCGAAAGCGUGGGGAGCAAACAGG
This 253-nucleotide ribosomal RNA is filed under the name uncultured bacterium. RNAcentral describes it as "partial 16S ribosomal RNA". It matches the Rfam family "Bacterial small subunit ribosomal RNA", at positions 524 to 776 of the family's 1533-position model. The record is from RNAcentral.